RNAcentral lists this ribosomal RNA (585 nucleotides) under uncultured bacterium. Its description in RNAcentral is "bacterial SSU rRNA". It matches the Rfam family "Bacterial small subunit ribosomal RNA", at positions 359 to 930 of the family's 1533-position model. The record is from RNAcentral.
AUACGAACAAUGAGGGGCAACCCUGAUGCAGCCAUGCCGCGUGUGUGAAGAAGGCCUUCCGGUUGUAAAGCACUUUCAGUUGUGAGGAAAGGUUAGUAGUUAAUACCUGCUAGCUGUGACGUUAACAACAGAAGAAGCACCGGCUAACUCCGUGCCAGCAGCCGCGGUAAUACGGAGGGUGCGAGCGUUAAUUCGGAAUUACUGGGCGUAAAGCGCACGCAGGCGGUCUGUUAAGCUAGAUGUGAAAGCCCCGUGCUCAACGUGGGAAGGUCAUUUAAAACUGGCAGACUAGAAUCUCGGAGAGGGGAGUGGAAUUCCAGGUGUAUGUCGGUGAAAUGCCUAGAGAUCUGGAGGAACAUCAAUGGCCUAAUGCCACUUCCUUGGCCAAAGACUGACGCUCAUGUGCGAAAGUGUUGGGUACCGAACAGGAUUAGAUACCCUGGUAGUCCACACCGUAAACGCUGGAUAUAAGCUGUCUGGGGUUAACGCUUUGCGAUAGCACCGUUAAUCGCCCUGAGUGGCCCGCCAGGUGAGUAACGAUUGCGGGGUCAAAACUCGAGCCAAUUGGUUAAUCUUCCCGUUAAC